This 1226-nucleotide ribosomal RNA is filed under the name Staphylococcus aureus. RNAcentral's name for it is "partial 23S ribosomal RNA". It matches the Rfam family "Bacterial large subunit ribosomal RNA", at positions 89 to 1316 of the family's 2925-position model. Lineage: Bacteria; Bacillati; Bacillota; Bacilli; Caryophanales; Staphylococcaceae. The record is from RNAcentral.
UAAGUAAGCUUUGAUCCAGAGAUUUCCGAAUGGGGAAACCCAGCAUGAGUUAUGUCAUGUUAUCGAUAUGUGAAUACAUAGCAUAUCAGAAGGCACACCCGGAGAACUGAAACAUCUUAGUACCCGGAGGAAGAGAAAGAAAAUUCGAUUCCCUUAGUAGCGGCGAGCGAAACGGGAAGAGCCCAAACCAACAAGCUUGCUUGUUGGGGUUGUAGGACACUCUAUACGGAGUUACAAAGGACGACAUUAGACGAAUCAUCUGGAAAGAUGAAUCAAAGAAGGUAAUAAUCCUGUAGUCGAAAAUGUUGUCUCUCUUGAGUGGAUCCUGAGUACGACGGAGCACGUGAAAUUCCGUCGGAAUCUGGGAGGACCAUCUCCUAAGGCUAAAUACUCUCUAGUGACCGAUAGUGAACCAGUACCGUGAGGGAAAGGUGAAAAGCACCCCGGAAGGGGAGUGAAAUAGAACCUGAAACCGUGUGCUUACAAGUAGUCAGAGCCCGUUAAUGGGUGAUGGCGUGCCUUUUGUAGAAUGAACCGGCGAGUUACGAUUUGAUGCAAGGUUAAGCAGUAAAUGUGGAGCCGUAGCGAAAGCGAGUCUGAAUAGGGCGUUUAGUAUUUGGUCGUAGACCCGAAACCAGGUGAUCUACCCUUGGUCAGGUUGAAGUUCAGGUAACACUGAAUGGAGGACCGAACCGACUUACGUUGAAAAGUGAGCGGAUGAACUGAGGGUAGCGGAGAAAUUCCAAUCGAACCUGGAGAUAGCUGGUUCUCUCCGAAAUAGCUUUAGGGCUAGCCUCAAGUGAUGAUUAUUGGAGGUAGAGCACUGUUUGGACGAGGGGCCCCUCUCGGGUUACCGAAUUCAGACAAACUCCGAAUGCCAAUUAAUUUAACUUGGGAGUCAGAACAUGGGUGAUAAGGUCCGUGUUCGAAAGGGAAACAGCCCAGACCACCAGCUAAGGUCCCAAAAUAUAUGUUAAGUGGAAAAGGAUGUGGCGUUGCCCAGACAACUAGGAUGUUGGCUUAGAAGCAGCCAUCAUUUAAAGAGUGCGUAAUAGCUCACUAGUCGAGUGACACUGCGCCGAAAAUGUACCGGGGCUAAACAUAUUACCGAAGCUGUGGAUUGUCCUUUGGACAAUGGUAGGAGAGCGUUCUAAGGGCGUUGAAGCAUGAUCGUAAGGACAUGUGGAGCGCUUAGAAGUGAGAAUGCCGGUGUGAGUAGCGAAAGA